Long non-coding RNA from Equus caballus (horse), 1785 nucleotides. The record is from Ensembl. NCBI's taxonomy places the organism in Eukaryota, Metazoa, Chordata, Mammalia, Perissodactyla, Equidae.
ACAGAAUUCAUCUGUAGCCCUUGGCCAUUCACACCUUCAGACUUCACUCAUUCUUCUCUCACCAUCUCUCUGUGACUAGGGACUGUCCCCUCUUCUGUGAGUUUUUAAAGAGUCUGAGAAUGGAGAAAAAGGACUCCGAAGCUUAUAAGUUUGAAGUUUGGCUGAGUACAAAAUUUCUCAAGUGAACAUUAUUUUCCCGCAUCCCUUUCAAGGCAACCACUGUUGUUGUAUUCAGAAUUACUAAGAGGAAAUCUGGGGAGAGUGCGAUUACAGGUCCUUUGCCCUUUCCUCUACAACCACUGAUGAAUGAGAAAUCUUGGAAAAGAAGCAAACUGGAAGUCAGGAGGGACAUGUCAAGGGAGUUGUGUAUUCCAUUUUUAAAAAUAAAGAAUCUACAAUUCAAAGAUUGUGCCAAAUCAGAGAAGAAAAGGAAAAUUGAGUCUUUAGGGAUUUCUGCAUAUAAGUCUAUGUCAUUUGCAAGCAGAUAUCAUUUUACGUCUUCCUUCUAUACUUGGAUGCCUUUUAUUUCUUUUUGUUGCUUCAUCGCUCUGACUAGACUUCCAGUACUAUAUUGAAUAGAAGUGGUGAGAGUGGGCAUCCUUGCCUUGUUCCCAAUUUAGAGUUGCUUGGAGAGAGUGUGGAGAGGGAAAGAAUACAGGAAAAGAAGAAGAUGACAGAAAAGGAUGAGAUGAGAAAUACGGAGAAAUGUUAGAUUGCAUUAAUUUAAUAAAGGGCUUGAAAUAAUUGGAACAUAAUCUUUUUAAAAGUAACUUUAAUGCUAGAAAACAUAUUUUACUCGUUUGUUUGAAGUCUAUUUUUUAAGUCUUCCUUAUGGAUCUAGCCCUGGGCUUGCUGUGGAGAUAACGUAGUGGAUAACAGAGAGACAGUGAAUAUUUUAGUUGAGUACUUUUUUCUAAGUUUAGAAUAUCUGCUUAUUAUUUAGGGUGUGGUCCUAUAGAUUAACUAUAUUCAUCUAUAUGUUCUAAAGCAAGGCUUGAAAACAGUUGCAUCUAAAUUUCAAGUGAAUUUCUCUCAUUAAACCAUUAUUGAAUAAUAGUAAAGGAUUAACUGUCCACUCCAAGGUACAGACUCCUGCUUUGCUUCUACUUCACUUGUUUGCCAUUAGUACCACUUACUUUGUGAGAACAAGGAUAUCUUUCUCAAAUGUUGUAUUAGUUUAGAAAAUAUUACUAUCAUUCCAGAGUACCAUCAUCUCCUAAAUGUUAAGCAACUGAGACACUUUAGAAUUUUCGGACCAGAUACCAUGUUAGCAUCUAGACUAAUAAGGUUCUGGGCAUAUCUCCUUCCUAGGAUAUGAUUGUGUGACCACCAAUCAAACACUAGGAACCUACAGGUUUCACCAUCCAACUUCCUGAGCAUUUAAUCAUCGGAAUAAUGCUCACAGCUCAUUAUCCUUUUAUUAUUUGUUAGGGCCUUUUCGAGUAUGCAGGAAAUGUUUUAGAAUUGCAUAUGCAUCAGCCCAUGAGGAGCUACCUGUUUUGUUAGAUAUUUAAGGAAAGAUAUUUUCAGGAAAACAUCCUGGCAUAUGGUAUAACUGCUGAAUCCAUCACAGUGCCACUUUUCAUAUUGUUUUAUGGGCAGUGAAACAAGGCACAUUAUGACUAUAGGGAACAAUAAUUCACCAGAGAUUCUAUUUUUUACUUUGCCUGCACACUAAAUUAUGAAGGCAGAUUGUUUCUUGGUGUUUGCAGAAAUUUAUGGCAUGUACAUAUUUUUCUGUAAAUGUCCUUUCAACUGAAAGAUGUUACACAAAACUCAGGGGAG